This 482-nucleotide ribosomal RNA is filed under the name uncultured bacterium. RNAcentral describes it as "partial 16S ribosomal RNA". It matches the Rfam family "Bacterial small subunit ribosomal RNA", at positions 28 to 523 of the family's 1533-position model. The record is from RNAcentral.
GACGAACGCUGGAGGCGUGCUUAACACAUGCGAGUCGAACGAUGAAAUGGAGCUUGCUCCAUGGAUUAGUGGCGAACGGGUGAGUAACACGUGAAUAACCUGCCCUUAAUUUUGGAAUAACCCAGGGAAACCUGGGCUAAUACCGGAUAAGUAAACCUGUGGCAUCACAUGGUUUUGGAAAGUUUUUCGAUUAAGGAUGGAUUCGCGGCCUAUCAGCUUGUUGGUGAGGUAAUGGCUCACCAAGGCGACGACGGGUAGCCGGCCUGAGAGGGUGAACGGCCACACUGGGACUGAGACACGGCCCAGACUCCUACGGGAGGCAGCAGUGGGGAAUAUUGCGCAAUGGACGAAAGUCUGACGCAGCGACGCCUCGUGAGGGACGAAGGUCUUCGGAUUGUAAGCCUCUUUCAGCAGGGACGAAGCGAAAGUGACGGUACCUGCAGAAGAAGCACCGGCUAACUAUGUGCCAGCCGCCGCGGUAA